This 481-nucleotide ribosomal RNA is filed under the name uncultured bacterium. Its description in RNAcentral is "partial 16S ribosomal RNA". It matches the Rfam family "Bacterial small subunit ribosomal RNA", at positions 28 to 523 of the family's 1533-position model. The record is from RNAcentral.
GACGAACGCUGGAGGCGUGCUUAACACAUGCAAGUCGAACGAUGAAAUGGAGCUUGCUCCAUGGAUUAGUGGCGAACGGGUGAGUAACACGUGAAUAACCUGCCCUUAAUUUUGGAAUAACCCAGGGAAACCUGGGCUAAUACCGGAUAAGUAAACCUGUGGCAUCACAUGGUUUUGGAAAGUUUUUCGAUUAAGGAUGGAUUCGCGGCCUAUCAGCUUGUUGGUGAGGUAAUGGCUGACCAAGGCGACGACGGGUAGCCGGCCUGAGAGGGUGAACGGCCACACUGGGACUGAGACACGGCCCAGACUCCUACGGGAGGCAGCAGUGGGAAUAUUGCGCAAUGGACGAAAGUCUGACGCAGCGACGCCUCGUGAGGGACGAAGGUCUUCGGAUUGUAAACCUCUUUCAGCAGGGACGAAGCGAAAGUGACGGUACCUGCAGAAGAAGCACCGACUAACUAUGUGCCAGCCGCCGCAGUAA